Molecule: unclassified non-coding RNA, 345 nt
Filed under: soil metagenome
Description: partial contains 5.8S ribosomal RNA, internal transcribed spacer 2, and large subunit ribosomal RNA
Rfam family: 5.8S ribosomal RNA (bases 1-120)
Source: RNAcentral
GAUGAAGAACGUAGCGAAAUGCGAUACGUAAUGUGAAUUGCAGAAUUCAGUGAAUCAUCGAGUCUUUGAACCCACAUUGCGCCCCCUGGUAUUCCGGGGGGCAUGCCUGUCCGAGCGUCAUUGCUGCCCUCAAGCACGGCUUGUGUGUUGGGCCUCCGUCCUCCUCCCGGGGGACGGGCCCGAAAGGCAGCGGCGGCACCGCGUCCGGUCCUCGAGCGUAUGGGGCUUCGUCACCCGCUCUUGUAGGCCCGGCCGGCGCUUGCCGACACAUCAAUCUUUUUUCCAGGUUGACCUCGGAUCAGGUAGGGAUACCCGCUGAACUUAAGCAUAUCAAUAAGCGGAGGA